AGAGUUUGAUCAUGGCUCAGAUUGAACGCUGGCGGCAGGCCUAACACAUGCAAGUCGAGCGGUAGCACAGAGAGCUUGCUCUCGGGUGACGAGCGGCGGACGGGUGAGUAAUGUCUGGGAAACUGCCUGAUGGAGGGGGAUAACUACUGGAAACGGUAGCUAAUACCGCAUAACGUCGCAAGACCAAAGUGGGGGACCUUCGGGCCUCAUGCCAUCAGAUGUGCCCAGAUGGGAUUAGCUAGUAGGUGGGGUAACGGCUCACCUAGGCGACGAUCCCUAGCUGGUCUGAGAGGAUGACCAGCCACACUGGAACUGAGACACGGUCCAGACUCCUACGGGAGGCAGCAGUGGGGAAUAUUGCACAAUGGGCGCAAGCCUGAUGCAGCCAUGCCGCGUGUGUGAAGAAGGCCUUCGGGUUGUAAAGCACUUUCAGCGGGGAGGAAGGCGGUGAGGUUAAUAACCUCAUCGAUUGACGUUACCCGCAGAAGAAGCACCGGCUAACUCCGUGCCAGCAGCCGCGGUAAUACGGAGGGUGCAAGCGUUAAUCGGAAUUACUGGGCGUAAAGCGCACGCAGGCGGUCUGUCAAGUCGGAUGUGAAAUCCCCGGGCUCAACCUGGGAACUGCAUUCGAAACUGGCAGGCUAGAGUCUUGUAGAGGGGGGUAGAAUUCCAGGUGUAGCGGUGAAAUGCGUAGAGAUCUGGAGGAAUACCGGUGGCGAAGGCGGCCCCCUGGACAAAGACUGACGCUCAGGUGCGAAAGCGUGGGGAGCAAACAGGAUUAGAUACCCUGGUAGUCCACGCCGUAAACGAUGUCGAUUUGGAGGUUGUGCCCUUGAGGCGUGGCUUCCGGAGCUAACGCGUUAAAUCGACCGCCUGGGGAGUACGGCCGCAAGGUUAAAACUCAAAUGAAUUGACGGGGGCCCGCACAAGCGGUGGAGCAUGUGGUUUAAUUCGAUGCAACGCGAAGAACCUUACCUGGUCUUGACAUCCACAGAACUUNUUGGUGCCUUCGGGAACUGUGAGACAGGUGCUGCAUGGCUGUCGUCAGCUCGUGUUGUGAAAUGUUGGGUUAAGUCCCGCAACGAGCGCAACCCUUAUCCUUUGUUGCCAGCGGUCAGGCCGGGAACUCAAAGGAGACUGCCAGUGAUAAACUGGAGGAAGGUGGGGAUGACGUCAAGUCAUCAUGGCCCUUACGACCAGGGCUACACACGUGCUACAAUGGCAUAUACAAAGAGAAGCGACCUCGCGAGAGCAAGCGGACCUCAUAAAGUAUGUCGUAGUCCGGAUUGGAGUCUGCAACUCGACUCCAUGAAGUCGGAAUCGCUAGUAAUCGUAGAUCAGAAUGCUACGGUGAAUACGUUCCCGGGCCUUGUACACACCGCCCGUCACACCAUGGGAGUGGGUUGCAAAAGAAGUAGGUAGCUUAACCUUCGGGAGGGCGCUUACCACUUUGUGAUUCAUGACUGGGGUGAAGUCGUAACAAGGUAACCGUAGGGGAACCUGCGGUUGGAUCACCU
RNAcentral lists this ribosomal RNA (1517 nucleotides) under Klebsiella pneumoniae. RNAcentral's name for it is "bacterial SSU rRNA". It matches the Rfam family "Bacterial small subunit ribosomal RNA". The record is from RNAcentral. Lineage: Bacteria; Pseudomonadati; Pseudomonadota; Gammaproteobacteria; Enterobacterales; Enterobacteriaceae.